UACGGAGGGGGCAAGCGUUGUUCGGAAUUACUGGGCGUAAAGGGCGCGCAGGCGGCUGCUCAAGUCAGGCGGGAAAGGCCUGGGCUCAACCCGGGAAUUGCGCUUGAGACUGGGCUGGCUUGAGUGCGGGAGAGGAUGGUGGAAUUCCCAGUGUAGAGGUGAAAUUCGUAGAUAUCGGAAGGAACACCGGUGGCGAAGGCGGCGCUCUGGACCGAGACUGACGCUGAGGCGCGAAAGCGUGGGAAGCAAACAGG
RNAcentral lists this ribosomal RNA (254 nucleotides) under uncultured bacterium. RNAcentral's name for it is "partial 16S ribosomal RNA". It matches the Rfam family "Bacterial small subunit ribosomal RNA", at positions 524 to 776 of the family's 1533-position model. The record is from RNAcentral.